AUUGAACGCUGGCGGCAGGCCUAACACAUGCAAGUCGAGCGGUAACACAGGGAGCUUGCUCCCGGGUGACGAGCGGCGGACGGGUGAGUACUGUCGGGGAAACUGCCUGAUGGAGGGGGAUAACUACUGGAAACGGUAGCGAAUACCGCAUAAUGUCGCAAGACCAAACAGGGGGACCUUCGGGCCUCUUGCCAUCCGCUGUGCCCAGGUGGGAUUAGCUAGUAGGUGGGGUAACGGCUCACCAAGGCGACGAUCCCUAGCUGAUCUGAGAGGAUGACCAGCCACACUGGAACUGAGACACGGUCCAGACUCCUACGGGAGGCAGCAGUGGGGAAUAUUGCACAAUGGGCGCAAGCCUGAUGCAGCCAUGCCGCGUGUAUGAAGAAGGCCUUCGGGUUGUAAAGUACUUUCAGCGGGGAGGAAGGUGUUGAGGUUAAUAACCUCAGCAAUUGACGUUACCCGCAGAGGAAGCACCGGCUAACUCCGUGCCAGCAGCCGCCGUAA
This 504-nucleotide ribosomal RNA is filed under the name uncultured bacterium. RNAcentral's name for it is "partial 16S ribosomal RNA". It matches the Rfam family "Bacterial small subunit ribosomal RNA", at positions 29 to 523 of the family's 1533-position model. The record is from RNAcentral.